CCUUCGGGGGGGGCGUGCCAGUAGGGAAUCUUCCGCAAUGGGCGAAAGCCUGACGGAGCAAUGCCGCGUGAGUGAUGAAGGUUUUCGGAUCGUAAAGCUCUGUUGCCAGGGAAGAACGCUUGGGAGAGUAACUGCUCUCAAGGUGACGGUACCUGAGAAGAAAGCCCCGGCUAACUACGUGCCAGCAGCCGCGGUAAUACGUAGGGGGCAAGCGUUGUCCGGAAUUAUUGGGCGUAAAGCGCGCGCAGGCGGUCAUUUAAGUCUGGUGUUUAAUCCCGGGGCUCAACCCCGGAUCGCACUGGAAACUGGGUGACUUGAGUGCAGAAGAGGAGAGUGGAAUUCCACGUGUAGCGGUGAAAUGCGUAGAUAUGUGGAGGAACACCAGUGGCGAAGGCGACUCUCUGGGCUGUAACUGACGCUGAGGCGCGAAAGCGUGGGGAGCAAACAGGAUUAGWACCCCCCG
Molecule: ribosomal RNA, 463 nt
Filed under: Paenibacillus mobilis
Lineage: Bacteria; Bacillati; Bacillota; Bacilli; Caryophanales; Paenibacillaceae
Description: bacterial SSU rRNA
Source: RNAcentral